GACGAACGCUGGCGGCGUGCUUAACACAUGCAAGUCGAACGGUGAAGGGACCAGCUUGCUGGUUCUGGAUGAGUGGCGAACGGGUGAGUAACACGUGGGUAACCUGCCCCCUUCUUCUGGAUAACCGCAUGAAAGUGUGGCUAAUACGGGAUAUUCUGGGUCUGUCGCAUGGCGGGCCCGGGAAAGAUAUUGCUUCGGUGGGGGAUGGGCUCGCGGCCUAUCAGCUUGUUGGUGGGGUGAUGGCCUACCAAGGCGGUGACGGGUAGCCGGCCUGAGAGGGGGGACGGUCACACUGGGACUGAGACACGGCCCAGACUCCUACGGGAGGCAGCAGUGGGGAAUAUUGCACAAUGGGCGCAAGCCUGAUGCAGCGACGCCGCGUGAGGGAUGGAGGCCUUCGGGUUGUAAACCUCUUUCGCCAGUGAAGCAGGCCUGCUCCUUGUGGGUGGGUUGACGGUAGCUGGAUAAGAAGCGCCGGCUAACUACGUG
Molecule: ribosomal RNA, 489 nt
Filed under: uncultured bacterium
Lineage: Bacteria
Description: partial 16S ribosomal RNA
Rfam family: Bacterial small subunit ribosomal RNA
Source: RNAcentral